This 484-nucleotide ribosomal RNA is filed under the name uncultured bacterium. Its description in RNAcentral is "partial 16S ribosomal RNA". It matches the Rfam family "Bacterial small subunit ribosomal RNA", at positions 28 to 507 of the family's 1533-position model. The record is from RNAcentral.
AUUGAACGCUGGCGGCAUGCUUUACACAUGCAAGUCGAACGGCAGCGCGGGCUUCGGCCUGGCGGCGAGUGGCGAACGGGUGAGUAAUGCAUCGGAACGUGCCCAGUAGUGGGGGAUAGCCCGGCGAAAGCCGGAUUAAUACCGCAUACGACCUGAGGGUGAAAGCGGGGGACCGAAAGGCCUCGCGCUAUUGGAGCGGCCGAUGUCGGAUUAGCUAGUUGGUGGGGUAAAGGCUUACCAAGGCGACGAUCCGUAGCUGGUCUGAGAGGACGACCAGCCACACUGGGACUGAGACACGGUCCAGACUCCUACGGGAGGCAGCAGUGGGGAAUUUUGGACAAUGGGGGCAACCCUGAUCCAGCCAUGCCGCGUGCGGGAAGAAGGCCUUCGGGUUGUAAAGCGCUUUUGUUCGGGAAGAAAUCCUCUGGGCUAAUACCCCGGGGGGAUGACGGUACCGGAAGAAUAAGCACCGGCUAACUACGUG